Molecule: small nuclear RNA, 155 nt
Organism: Eutrema salsugineum
Lineage: Eukaryota; Viridiplantae; Streptophyta; Magnoliopsida; Brassicales; Brassicaceae
Rfam family: U12 minor spliceosomal RNA
About the family: Although the U12 sequence is very divergent from that of U2, the two are functionally analogous.
Source: Rfam
UCGCCUUAAACUAAUGAGUAAGGAAAACAAAGCGAACGGUGAGAAUCGGUCGCAGCGCAAAACAUAAAUUAGCGCAAGAAUCUUUGGAAGGGAUAUAGGCUGGCCGAGUUGUUGACGCUGUACUUUAACAGAACUCUCUCGUGCGGGCCUCCUCC